AAGAUAUUUUCGUUUCGAGAAGAUCAUCAACAAUGACUAUGCUAAAGUCGAAGUGGAAUUUCUUGCGACGGCUAUAAAUAAAUUAGACUUUUGCGGGGUACGGUAUCUUGGCAUUGGUCAGCAGUGUUUUGGAUAAGCGUGAAGACAGUGUCUUUGCGUCAAUUUGAAUAACCCAGCAAGCCUUGAGAGAAAAGAAACUGAUCUAUUACACAUGUUCGUGUCUGUUUGUCAUCUAUCCCACAUGGCACAGUUAUAAUGUACAAUUGCGCAUGCUCGUUAAUCAUGUUUGUCUACGGCCAAGGUACCAUUUCACAUGCUCUUGCAAGGGAGUUGGCAAUGUUACUGGCUAACUUUUCGAGUGCCAGCAUCCAUCGCGUGAAGUUGGAAAACUGAAGACACUCGGCUACUGCAAAGUCAGUAUAUUCUGAAAGUCACCGAUUGUAUGGCACUGUUAAGACCUAUGCAGGCAAGACACAAGUUGACUGGGAAGGACUAUUCAUCUGUUGUUUGUAACGUUAACUGUUCUUUCCUUUCAGAAACGUAAAUCUCGUGAUAAGUCAAAAGUUUGUUAGUUUUUAGCCAAAAUAGAGGAAAUAAAACGUGCUAGACUAGG
Molecule: long non-coding RNA, 613 nt
Organism: Exaiptasia diaphana
Lineage: Eukaryota; Metazoa; Cnidaria; Anthozoa; Actiniaria; Aiptasiidae
Exons: 2
Source: RefSeq, a predicted model, not a curated record